GGCAUUUUGGGAGCUCACUAGCUUCGGGUUCCGUCCGAACUCCGAAGUUAAGCGAGUUCGCGCGAGAGCAAUUCCAUGAUGGGUGACCCAUUGGGAAAUCUCGUGUGAGUUCCCAGAAACAAAACUAUGAGGUGCGUGGUCGGGGCCCAAAGAGGACAAUAUCGUGCUACGGUGGAGUCGAGCCUGGGAUGUGGUGGGGGCCCGAGCCGGGAUGUGACAAUUUGGUAUCAGAACCAAUCCCUGGCCGGAAGUGUGCCGACUAGGACGUCGGGUCCCUAAGGGGGGUGGAUUAUAACGUCUCACAUCGCCCAGGGGAGUGGAUCCUAUAAGCCUUAUAUGUAUAUUCUCAUCCCUACCUAGCACGAGGCUUUUUGGGAGCUCACUGGCUUCGGAUUUCAUCAGAACUCCGAAGUUAAGCGAGCUCGGGCGAGAGCAUUCUCAUAAUGGGUGACCCACUGGGAAGUUCUCGUGUGAGUUCCC
This 480-nucleotide small RNA is filed under the name Malus domestica (apple). Lineage: Eukaryota; Viridiplantae; Streptophyta; Magnoliopsida; Rosales; Rosaceae. The record is from RNAcentral.